Molecule: ribosomal RNA, 101 nt
Filed under: uncultured bacterium
Lineage: Bacteria
Description: partial 16S ribosomal RNA
Rfam family: Bacterial small subunit ribosomal RNA
Source: RNAcentral
CACACCGCCCGUCACACCAUGGGAGUUGGUUCGGCCUUAAGACGGUGCGCUAACCUCGCAAGAGGAGGCAGCCGGCCACGGCCGGGUCAGCGACUGGGGUG